This 585-nucleotide ribosomal RNA is filed under the name Kryptoperidinium foliaceum. RNAcentral's name for it is "partial Bacterial large subunit ribosomal RNA". It matches the Rfam family "Bacterial large subunit ribosomal RNA", at positions 113 to 747 of the family's 2925-position model. The record is from RNAcentral. Lineage: Eukaryota; Dinophyceae; Peridiniales; Kryptoperidiniaceae.
UCUGAAUGGGGAAACCCACCGGUCUUCGGACCGGUACCGUACGGUGAAUACAUAGCCGUACGGGGCGAACUCGGGGAACUGAAACAUCUAAGUACCCGAAGGAAAGGACAUCAAUUGAGACUUCCUUAGUAGUGGCGAGCGAACGGGAACCAGGCCAGUGGCUUUAGUGAGACAACCGGAACCGUUUGGAAAGACGGGCCAUAGUGGGUGACAGCCCCGUACGGGUAAUUCGAACUUUAGUCCUCGAGUAGGGCGGGACACGUGAAAUCCUGUCUGAACAUGGGGGGACCACCCUCCAAGCCUAAAUACUCGUAUGUGACCGAUAGCGAACCAGUACCGUGAGGGAAAGGUGAAAAGCACCCCGACGAGGGGAGUGAAACAGUUCCUGAAACUGGAUGCCUACAAACAGUUGGAGCCCAAGGUUCGUCCUGGGUGACAGCGUACCUUUUGUAUAAUGGGUCAGCGACUUAAUCUAGCAAGCAAGCUUAAACCGUUAGGUGUAGGCGUAGCGAAAGCGAGUCUGAAUAGGGCGACGAGUUCGAGGGAUAAGACCCGAAACCGAGUGAUCUAGCCAUGUGCAGGUUG